UGAUGAGGCCCAGCUGGCUAAUAGGAAGUGUUCUCGUUGGUGUCGCUAGAAAUCACCAGAAUGACAGUCUUCGACAAGUUAAAAGACAACUGGUUUCUUUUGGCUAUAACUAUUGUUAUAUUCUUGGCAGAUUUGGCACCAUUUAUUGGAGCCAAAGGAGGACCUUUGAGGCCAGAGAUCACCGUCAAGUACUUUGCAGUUUCCUUUAUCUUCUUCAACAGCGGGUUAUCACUAAAAACAGAAGACCUUCGCGCAGCACUACUCCAUGUCCGGUUACACGUCUUCAUUCAGGGAUUUACCCUUGUCUUUAUACCAUGCCUUGUGUGGGUCUUGGUCCACUUUCUGAUGCUGACACCAGUGGAUGCGUGGCUUCUUAAAGGGUUGCAAGUUGUCGGCUGUAUGCCGCCACCUGUGUCAUCAGCUGUGAUCCUGACCAAAGCUGCAGGAGGCAAUGAGGCAGGAGCAAUAUUCAACUCGGCAUUUGGAAGUUUCUUAGGUAUUGUCGUCACCCCAGUCUUGCUGCUGGUGUCCAUGGCAUCAUCCAGUUCAGUUCCGUUUUCUUCCAUCUUCACUCAGCUGUCCAUCACAGUCGUCGUGCCUCUCCUCGUAGGGCAGGUUUUAAGACGGUUCAUCAAGGAGUGGCUAGAGAGAACCAAGCCACCCUUCGGCACUCUCGGCAAGGCUGUCCUGCUUCUUAUCAUCUACUCUACGUUCUGUGACACGUUCUCCAACACAGCACUGCAUAUAGACCACCUCAGCUUAUGUGCAAUGGUGUUCAUAGUGUUUAUUCUGCAAGUAUGCCUUAUAUCCUUCACCUUCUUCAUCUCACAAGUGCAAUUUUUUGGAUUCACUCCAAGCGACACGGUAGCAAUCAUGUUUUGUGCUACCCACAAAUCUCUGACACUGGGCAUCCCCAUGUUGAAGAUUAUCUUUGCCGGUUACGAGCACCUGUCCCUCAUCUCCAUCCCCCUCCUAGUCUACCAUCCCACCCAGAUCCUUCUCGGUGGCUUGCUGGUGGGGCGAGUCAAGCAGUGGAUGCUCGCAGCUGAGAAACAGAGGAUAACACCAUCAUCACUACCCAAAUAGAUAGACUCAUGCGUUGCUUUCUCUUGGUCCUUUAAAGGGGCUUCUAACAUUGCUGUAAAAAGAGAUGGAAAAUGGAGAGCCGUCCCUCAACACCACCUCUGACGGCAGCAACUCAAGAGACUCCAUAUAAAGUUAAAAUAUUUA
RNAcentral lists this unclassified non-coding RNA (1230 nucleotides) under Acanthaster planci (crown-of-thorns starfish). RNAcentral's name for it is "sodium/bile acid cotransporter 7-B-like, transcript variant X1". The record is from RNAcentral. Lineage: Eukaryota; Metazoa; Echinodermata; Asteroidea; Valvatida; Acanthasteridae.